Neltuma alba is the source of this 312-nucleotide long non-coding RNA. RefSeq lists it as uncharacterized. The transcript is spliced from 2 exons. The record is from RefSeq and is a predicted model, not a curated record. Lineage: Eukaryota; Viridiplantae; Streptophyta; Magnoliopsida; Fabales; Fabaceae.
GAUGAUGGGAUUAAGCGUGCAGAGCAUGUUGGAUCUCGUGGUGGCUGGGGUUUCCCUUCUGAUUGGUUUGGGAAUUUUUGGUUUCAUUGCUUCAAUCCUAUGCUCUGCUGCGUUCUUCCUCAAUUCCAAGGACGUAUCCUAAAUCCUAAAUCCAUGCAAUAUUUGUACACGGAAUUGCUCGCUUAUGUAGAGUGGAGCCAUGUUGUUGUAAGAAUCAGAGUCUUUGAAAAAAGUUGAGGGGUACUAUUGCUUCCUGUAGUAGGAAUGUAGCCUCUGUUCAAUAUAGUCAAUAAAGUUCAGUGGUGAUAUUUA